RNAcentral lists this ribosomal RNA (263 nucleotides) under uncultured bacterium. Its description in RNAcentral is "partial 16S ribosomal RNA". It matches the Rfam family "Bacterial small subunit ribosomal RNA", at positions 92 to 353 of the family's 1533-position model. The record is from RNAcentral.
CGACCGGCGCACGGGUGAGUAACACGUAUCCAACCUGCCGUCUACUCUUGGACAGCCUUCUGAAAGGAAGAUUAAUACAAGAUGGCAUCAUGAGUCCGCAUGUUCACAUGAUUAAAGGUAUUCCGGUAGACGAUGGGGAUGCGUUCCAUUAGAUAGUAGGCGGGGUAACGGCCCACCAAGCCUUCGAUGGAUAGGGGUUCUGAGAGGAAGGUCCCCCACAUUGGAACUGAGACACGGUCCAAACUCCUACGGGAGGCAGCAUG